Molecule: ribosomal RNA, 220 nt
Filed under: uncultured bacterium
Lineage: Bacteria
Description: partial 16S ribosomal RNA
Rfam family: Bacterial small subunit ribosomal RNA
Source: RNAcentral
CCGUUACUCAGUUCAGAUUGCAGGCUGNAACCCGCCCUGCAUGAAGUCGGAAUUGCUAGUAAUCGCGGAUCAGCAUGCCGCGGUGAAUACGUUCCCGGGCCUUGUACACACCGCCCGUCACACCAUGGGAGCCGGUAAUACCCGAAGUCAGUAGUCCAACCACGUGAGGACGCUGCCGAAGGUAGGAUUGGCGACUGGGGUGAAGUCGUAACAAGGUACC